CCGGCUGCUGUGUUGAGAGUAGGCUGUGGACGUCAGGAGAGGCAGUAGGAAACCAGUUAAAGGCCAGCGUAACAAUCCAGUCUGCAGGCAGCCUCAGCUGUGGACACCGUGGGACACUUUCUCUGGAGCUCCAGAAACCAGGACUUGAAGCUAAUAACAGGCUAAAGAGCGUUGUGAUUAUGGUCACCUAAUAGGAACCUUUGACAACUCCAGAGAGUGUGCUCUGCACCACAUUUCAGGAAAUGCAGCGCGGGGGUGGAUGCACGGAAAAUCUGAGGCUGCCCUGCUUCCCCAUCAGGGCCUUCUGCUUCCCUGUGACAACCAGAACUCUGAUUAGUCUCCGGGAGACGAGCGUUCCUGUUCCUGGAAAUACUCCUACCACCCGCUGGGCAAACUUCCCCAUUGACAUGAUGGGAAGAUGCAGGACCAGAGGGCCUACUGCGAUGUGAAUCUGUUCCAUGGCACCCAGCACUAGAUACAGAAAGGGGAAGAAAAACAAGUUUUUAUGUGCAAAGCCAGAAGCUAAUCUGUGGAAACUUCUUCCAGUCAAAACAUAUAAAAUUAUACUUGGAGGAUUUGGUUCUCAUCAAUUCUUAGAAAAAAGAAAUUCUGUUAGGAACAUACUCUGUAUGCAGUAUAUACAAUUACAAACACUCCAAGCAUUUUCUUCUUUUUCAAAGAGAUUAUGCAAAAUCAAAUUGAUCAAAAUUCUUCUAUUUAUAGAGCACAAGUCCUGUGGAAGAACUACAGGGAACAUGUUCAUUGAAGUUGCAUAUUUUAUGAAUUUUAAAAAUUAAUAACGCAAAAAUUUUUUGAUCAACCAAGUUAGAAGAAGGACUGAAUUAUUUUAUUCUCUCUACAGAAAAUGUUACAAAAUAGAGAGUAUGAGGGCAAAGAAUGUAGGAAUAUAUCUUAUCGAGUUAUAUCAGCCACUAACUAACAAAAAUAUUGCAUUAUUUUCUGAAUUUUUGUGGCAUUUAUUAAUUUUUUAAAAUUUGAAAUGUUAUAUGUUCUUUCUUCACUCUGUAUAAACAUUCACUUUUGUACCUAAUUUUGUAUUUGUAAUUUUAAAUAUUUUUUCUCCAAGAAGGCCCUCGAAACGCAAGUCUCAAUCUCACAAAAGUUGGCUCCAACCUAAGAUAGGGGAAGCUAUUGGUUCUUCUUCUUUAUGACCUUGCCACUAGAUUACAGCAAGGGUGAGUGUCACGUAAGUCCUGCUUCGUAUAACAAACAUGUAUCAUCCAGCAGGCAGAGGAAACCAUCACAAAACCUCUUCUGUAAUCUCAACGAAGAUCCGGUUCUGUGUCCUUUUAGGAGCUACCACAGAACAUUUCACAGAAAACUUCUAGGAAGCAAAGAAUAAUAUUCUAAAGGCCAAAUUCUGCUGACCAUCUGGUUGGAGUCAGGCAAACAAGAAUCCUGUCACCCAGGAUUGUUUAGGAAUUGAGUCCAGGUAAAAGGUAAGCACUGGCUGGAUUCUUAUAUCCUGUUCCUACAAGGCAGGGAGCAUCUCUAUAACAUUUUAUCUGAUCCUCACCUCUUGACCUUUACUCAUGUCACCAACAAAAAAGCAUUUCUAAACAUUCAUUAUACUCAUUAGGAGGCCUCUGAUGAUUACUGGAGGUGACGAUAGCUGAAGAACUCAGAGUUCCUGCCUCUGGAGCAUGGCUUUUGUGUCACCUUCUCAUUGAGUCCUGAGGAGCCAAGUUUCCCGUGGAGGGUGACACAAGGAAAGCUUCAACUACAGCAGCUCUGCUCUUCUCUGUUCUGCAUAUUGGGGUUCUGUGUACUGUUUCCUUUGUGAUAAAUAAAGAGGGUUCGGCUGCAUUUGAAACUUUGAAAACCACAGCUCUAGCACUAAACACCUCUCUCGGUGUAAAAACUAUAAUGUCAUCUAGUCUUCUUCUCCCCUCUCUAUUCCCACCACCGUUGUUUCCAAUACAUGCUCCCACCACAUUUUACCUACAAAAAGCUUUUUGUGCUGGGGUCAAACUUUCCAUAACCAAGUUGCCAAGUGUGAUGGUUAAUUUUAUGCGUCAACUUGACCAGGCCACAGGGUGCCCAGCUAUUUAGCUAAACAUUGCUUCUGAGUGUGUCUAUGAGGGCAUUUCUGGAAGAGAUUAGCGUCUGCAUCAGUGGACUCGGUAUAGCAGGGUGCCCUCCCCGCUGCAGGUGGGCAUCAUCUAAUCCACUGAGGGCCCGAAGAGAACAAAAGGUCAAGGAAGCAGGAAUUCUUUCUCUCCGUCUCUGCUUGGACUUGGUUAUUAGCCUUCUCCUGCCCUUGGACUCAGCUCUCCUCUUUCUCAGACCUUCAGACUUGGACUGAGACUCCUCCACCAGCUCCCUGGUCUCCAGCUUACAGACGUCAUGGGACUUCUCAGCCUCCAUGAUUGUGGGAGCCAGUUCCUUGCAGUACAUCUCUCUGUAUAUACAUCCCUUAUUGGUUCUGUUUCUCCGGAGAACUCUCAACAAUACACCAACGUAGGAGGAUUGCUGGACUGGAAGCCUUGUCCCAGCUUUGGAGAGGGGGCUUAUGGAGGAACAGAUGAGGGAUGGUCAGAGCCAGGAUAUUUAACCUUGGUCCCUAGUGAACAUUUAUUCUUUGUCUGCGAAUAACUCUUCUUUUUCUGGGGCCAGUCAUCCUUUUAUUUAAGACUGUGCCCCAACGAUGAGGUUCUGUAAGGGCUUUUCUAAUUUGCCCUUGUUCUCACAGAUGACCCAAUCACCCAAGACCCCAACCUGGUGCUUCCAAGGGCUUUUGAACUGAGAAGCAAGCCCUGCCCUGUCCAAUGGCAAAGCUGGGAACCUGUGAGCCUGGAGCUGCUGGUGUCCACGCUUCCGUCCUUGAGAGGAGAACCACCUGAAGAGCAUAAAGCCACUCUGCAAGCAGGAAGGAGGCAUGAGGAGUGUCACAAGAGUGUCCAGGCCAGGUCUAGUCAUCGCUGGUGCCAACCUUAUUCCUGCCCCUCUUCAUUGGGCUACAUGAGUCCACAAAUUCUCUCUCUCAAGCUUCUUGGAGUUCACUUUCUGUCAUUUUUUCAAAACCAAAAAAUAUCCUAAACAAAGCACCAGCUAAGGCAGCAAAAUUACAGAGCUUGAUAAAAUAAAAGAAAUGGAAUCAACAAGAAGAAAGGUGGAAAAGUCUGGUAAUUCUCAGGAACAAAAUAACCAGGGAGAAUAAAAUUUGCA
Molecule: long non-coding RNA, 3189 nt
Organism: Equus quagga
Lineage: Eukaryota; Metazoa; Chordata; Mammalia; Perissodactyla; Equidae
Exons: 5
Source: RefSeq, a predicted model, not a curated record